RNAcentral lists this ribosomal RNA (467 nucleotides) under Segatella copri. RNAcentral describes it as "bacterial SSU rRNA". It matches the Rfam family "Bacterial small subunit ribosomal RNA", at positions 1 to 452 of the family's 1533-position model. The record is from RNAcentral. Lineage: Bacteria; Pseudomonadati; Bacteroidota; Bacteroidia; Bacteroidales; Prevotellaceae.
UUUUACAAUGGAGAGUUUGAUCCUGGCUCAGGAUGAACGCUAGCUACAGGCUUAACACAUGCAAGUCGAGGGGAAACGACAUCGAAAGCUUGCUUUUGGUGGGCGUCGACCGGCGCACGGGUGAGUAACGCGUAUCCAACCUGCCCACCACUUGGGGAUAACCUUGCGAAAGUAAGACUAAUACCCAAUGAUAUCUCUAGAAGACAUCUGAAAGAGAUUAAAGAUUUAUCGGUGAUGGAUGGGGAUGCGUCUGAUUAGCUUGUUGGCGGGGUAACGGCCCACCAAGGCAACGAUCAGUAGGGGUUCUGAGAGGAAGGUCCCCCACAUUGGAACUGAGACACGGUCCAAACUCCUACGGGAGGCAGCAGUGAGGAAUAUUGGUCAAUGGACGAGAGUCUGAACCAGCCAAGUAGCGUGCAGGAAGACGGCCCUAUGGGUUGUAAACUGCUUUUAUAAGGGAAUAAAGU